CCCUUAGUAGUGGCGAGCGAACGGGGAACAGCCCAAACCAGAUUUGUUUCGGCAAAACUGGGGUUGUAGGACCUCUAUAUAGGAAGACAAGAUUAGGAGAACGGUCUGGAAAGGCCGGCCAUAGAACAUGACAGCUGUGUAUCCGAAAAUCUUCGUUGGACUUAGAGGUAUCCUGAGUAGCGCGGGACACGUGAAAUCCUGUGUGAAUCUGCGGGGCCCAUCCCGUAAGGCUAAAUACUCCCGAGAGACCGAUAGUGAACCAGUACCGUGAGGGAAAGGUGAAAAGAACCUCGAACAGAGGAGUGCAAUAGAUCCUGAACCCGUCUGCCUACAAGCGGUAGGAGCAGCUUUUAGCUGUGACUGCGUGCCUUUUGCAUAAUGAACCUACGAGUUACUUUCUCUGGCAAGGUUAAGUGAUGAAGAGUCACGUGAGCCGAAGCGAAAGCGAGUCUGAAUAGGGCGCUUUAGUCAGAGGGAGUAGACGCGAAACCAAGUGAUCUACCCUUGGUCAGGUUGAAGGUUGGGUAAAACCAACUGGAGGACCGCACCGGUAAGCGUUGAAAAGCUUUCGGAUGAACUGAGGGUAGGGGUGAAAGGCUAAUCAAACUUGGAGAUNNNNNNNNNNAAUGCAUUUAGGUGCAGCCUGUGGAGUUUCUUACGUGAGGUAGAGCGACUGAUUGGAUGCGAGGCUUUCACCGGCUAUCAAGUCCAGACAAACUCCGAAUGCACGUUAAGUAAGAUCCACGGAGUGAGGGCAUGGGUGCUAAGGUCCAUGUCCGAGAGGAGAAGAAUCCAGACCAUCGGCUAAGGUCCCGAAAUAAUAGCUAAGUUGACCAAACGAAGUCAGAGUGCGAAGACAGCUAGGAUGUUGGCUUGGAAGCAGCCAUUCAUUUAAAGAGUGCGUAACAGCUCACUAGUCGAGUGCUUUGGCGU
RNAcentral lists this ribosomal RNA (933 nucleotides) under Porphyromonas sp. RNAcentral describes it as "partial 23S ribosomal RNA". It matches the Rfam family "Bacterial large subunit ribosomal RNA", at positions 237 to 1164 of the family's 2925-position model. Lineage: Bacteria; Pseudomonadati; Bacteroidota; Bacteroidia; Bacteroidales; Porphyromonadaceae. The record is from RNAcentral.